UACAGAGGGUGCAAGCGUUGUUCGGAAUUAUUGGGCGUAAAGCGCGUGUAGGCGGUCCGGUAAGUCCGCUGUGAAAAGUCGGGGGGCUCAACCCUCGGAUGCCGGUGGAUACUGUCGGGCUUGAGUACGGAAGAGGCGAGUGGAAUUCCUGGUGUAGCGGUGAAAUGCGCAGAUAUCAGGAGGAACACCAAUUGCGAAGGCAGCUCGCUGGGACGUUACUGACGCUGAGACGCGAAAGCGUGGGGAGCAAACAGG
This 255-nucleotide ribosomal RNA is filed under the name uncultured bacterium. RNAcentral describes it as "partial 16S ribosomal RNA". It matches the Rfam family "Bacterial small subunit ribosomal RNA", at positions 524 to 776 of the family's 1533-position model. The record is from RNAcentral.